UAACGUGUGAAACACAGCUGGGGAAAAAAUAUGCCAGGAAAUAGAGAAUUAUUGCCUCAAACACAGAGGAGAGACUCAUUCAUGGUGACAUCAUAAAGGGGCCGGUGAGUGGAGGGAAGCUAAGGAGCGAAGGAACUGAAGAAUAAAAACAGUUCUCGUAUCAAAGCAUUCUGGUUUUGGAAGAGGCGGCUAGAGAAAUGUGGAAAGUGUUUCCUGGGGAUAUAAUUGACUUUGAAGCUAAAACUACAGAGAGCCUCCGGCAGCCAGAUCAAGACUCCGUCACGCUGAGAUGUAACCUUCCACACUGAUUAAUCACAGGGAGGUACAUGAAGACUUCUCGUCUCUCUUUUCACGACGAUAUACUCGAUGGCCAUUAUUGGCAAAGUGGCAAUACUCUAAUUCUGCCAUUCACUCUUCGGUCACUAGCGAGAAGAGGCCCACAAAGAAAGAAAACCAUCUCACCGAGUCGUACUGAUCCUGUGGUAUAGUUCCUACAUGGAAGGCAAUAAAUUUGUUUUGUUUCCCCUA
Long non-coding RNA from Rattus norvegicus (Norway rat), 528 nucleotides. RefSeq lists it as uncharacterized. NCBI's taxonomy places the organism in Eukaryota, Metazoa, Chordata, Mammalia, Rodentia, Muridae. The record is from RefSeq and is a predicted model, not a curated record.